Molecule: long non-coding RNA, 1584 nt
Organism: Monopterus albus (swamp eel)
Lineage: Eukaryota; Metazoa; Chordata; Actinopteri; Synbranchiformes; Synbranchidae
Exons: 3
Source: RefSeq, a predicted model, not a curated record
AGAACAACUGCCCAUGAUCCUGUCAAAAUAUCAUUGCCUAUGUAACCGAUGGGUUGGCCAUGCCCAUAUCGCCAGGGGGUGACAACUGAUUCCAGCGCGAUCCUGCAGGAGUUGGCGUCCAUCGCACAUGUCGUGCCAAGAGGCCACAGUGCGUGACGCAACCCAAGUGCCACUGAAAACCACAGGCUCUGUGGGCUCUAUGUUCCCUAUAUGUUAGCUCUGGAGCCGUUUAUUACUGCUGCUUCCUGACUACCGGCUGUCAUGACCACAUAUGAUGAAGUUUCAGAGGCAGGACAGGAGGGAGAAGAGGAGCAGAGAAAGAAGAGUAGGGGACACUGCUGGAGUUUGUUUUGAUGCUCACUUCAUCUUUAAUAGUUGAAAAUUAGAGGUUGAAGUUAGUUAAUGCAGCUUUAAGACUACAGAUUAAUUUCUGCUCAUACAUCACUGUCUGGUUUGGCUCAGCAACCAAACAGGACAGGAACAGACUCCAGUGGACAGUCAGGACUGCAGGGAGAACCAUCGGUGCCAGCCUGUCCUCCAUGGAGGACCUGUACACCUCACGGGUCAGAAGGAGGGCGCAGAAGAUCUCUGCAGACCCCUCACACCCUGGACAUAAUCUGUUUGAACUCCUCCCCCCUGGAUGGCGCUACAGGUCACUGUACGCCAAGACAACCAGGCACAAGGAUGGUUUCUUCCUUCGGGACAUUGCUCUGAACAGUUAAUUUAUAUUUAUGUAUAACAAGAUACAACAAAUACUACAGUGCAUUACCUGUUUUGUUUGUAAUUCAGUUGUUUUGUUUGGUGCACAGUGGGGGCCAGUGAGUUGGGAGUCAAAUUUCCUGUAUUUUAAAUAGUACGUGGCAAUAAAGUUUGAUUGAUUGAACUCAUCUAAGACCUGAUACUUGGCAGGAGAUCUGACCACUGUUCUCAUAGAUUUUUUGUUUUGUUUUGUUUAAUUAAAAGUCCCAACGCAUGCCACCUACUGUGAAAUGCAUUUAAAACCCUGAUGAUUCAGUUACAAUUACACAAAAGUCAUGAAAAUGAUCAGCCAAUGCUCUAAAUUAAAAUUUAAUGAUCCAACCUGUUGUAGUUUAGCACAAAUGUAUAAAGCACAUUGAAUUUAUUCAAAUAUUAAAAACAUGUUUGCAAAAAAGGUAGACAGCAAACAUCAUAUUAACACAACAUCUGCAUGGGUGGGGUGGGGGCAAAACAGUAAUUUCAAUACAAAAGGAGAAUCUGUGGAACAAACUUAACAUGUCAAACAAUUCAGAAAUUCAGCAGAUGCUUUUAAGGGAAAUAUACAAUUGUGAGACAAAUUUAUAUCCUACUGUUGAUAGAACUUACAUUUUUGAUUCAAUGUACUGUAAAAUUAUAGUAAAAUGGUAUCUCACACAGUAUUACAGAUCACUGUCUGAAAUCAUCAGGCAGACAGGUUCAAGGACGAGGACGUCGCAGAGACAGAACAUUUUAUCACUCCAAUAAAAACUAAAGCAGCCAGUUUGAAAAAACCAAGAAGAAAUAAAAAAACAACAAAGCUGAAGUUUAAAGUUUAGUAGCAGUUUAGUUGUCGCUGACAUGGCAGCU